This 465-nucleotide ribosomal RNA is filed under the name Vreelandella stevensii. RNAcentral's name for it is "partial 16S ribosomal RNA". It matches the Rfam family "Bacterial small subunit ribosomal RNA", at positions 338 to 795 of the family's 1533-position model. Lineage: Bacteria; Pseudomonadati; Pseudomonadota; Gammaproteobacteria; Oceanospirillales; Halomonadaceae. The record is from RNAcentral.
CCUACGGGGGGCAGCAGUGGGGAAUAUUGGACAAUGGGGGGAACCCUGAUCCAGCCAUGCCGCGUGUGUGAAGAAGGCCCUCGGGUUGUAAAGCACUUUCAGUGAGGAAGAACGCCUGGUGGUUAAUACCCAUCAGGAAAGACAUCACUCACAGAAGAAGCACCGGCUAACUCCGUGCCAGCAGCCGCGGUAAUACGGAGGGUGCGAGCGUUAAUCUGAAUUACUGGGCGUAAAGCGCGCGUAGGUGGCUUGAUAAGCCGGUUGUGAAAGCCCCGGGCUCAACCUGGGAACGGCAUCCGGAACUGUCAAGCUAGAGUGCAGGAGAGGAAGGUAGAAUUCCCGGUGUAGCGGUGAAAUGCGUAGAGAUCGGGAGGAAUACCAGUGGCGAAGGCGGCCUUCUGGACUGACACUGACACUGAGGUGCGAAAGCGUGGGUAGCAAACAGGAUUAGAUACCCCGGUAGUU